CCAUCGGUUCUUUUCAGAACCAUCAAAUUAGUGGAAAAGAGUUAAA
Molecule: non-coding RNA, 46 nt
Organism: Aedes aegypti (yellow fever mosquito)
Lineage: Eukaryota; Metazoa; Arthropoda; Insecta; Diptera; Culicidae
Source: Rfam